Molecule: ribosomal RNA, 256 nt
Filed under: uncultured bacterium
Lineage: Bacteria
Description: partial 16S ribosomal RNA
Rfam family: Bacterial small subunit ribosomal RNA
Source: RNAcentral
UACAUGUGGGGCAAGCGUUGUUCGGAAUUACUGGGCAUAAAGGGUGCGUAGGUGGCUUGUUAAGUCAGGGGUUGAAAGUUUUCGGCCCAACCGGAAAAUGGCCUUUGAUACUGGCGAGCUCGAGUGCGGUGAGGGGUAACCGGAACGAGCAGUGUAGCGGUGAAAUGCGUAGAUAUUGCUCGGAAGGCCAACGGCGAAGGCAGGUUACUGGUACGCAACUGACACUGAGGCACGGAAAGCGUGGGGAGCAAACAGG